UACAGAGACCCCGAGCGUUAUCCGGAAUUACUGGGCGUAAAGGACAAGUAGUCGGUAGUUAUAGUCUGAUGUUAAAUUUCAUCGCUCAACGGUGAAGCCGCAUCAGAAACGUAACUUCUAGAGCGAGUCAGGGGCAAGCGGAACGUGUGGUGUAGCGGUGAAAUGCAUUGAUAUCACGCGGAACACCUAAAGCGAAGGCAGCUUGCUGGGGCUUUGCUGACGAUCAAUUGUGAAAGCGUGGGGAUCAAAAAGG
RNAcentral lists this ribosomal RNA (253 nucleotides) under uncultured bacterium. RNAcentral describes it as "partial 16S ribosomal RNA". It matches the Rfam family "Bacterial small subunit ribosomal RNA", at positions 524 to 776 of the family's 1533-position model. The record is from RNAcentral.